AUUAACAUAAUUGUAAAGCAGUUUCAGGAUUUCAAAACCAAUGACAUUUUGCUACGUGUUUAACUUGGCUUCGCACACAUCACACACAAAAAAAGCAAAGCAUAAGACAAAGUCACCCAACAAACAAGAUAACAACAAGGGGUAGGAAGUUAACAAACCAAAGUCAAAGUCAGUCUGGGAGUGUGCAGUUGAGAUAAGGACUCGGUCCAGUCAGGGAGAGCUGUUGGCACGUGCUGCUCAUUAUGUUCAAGCCAUGAAGAAUCUCUGUUCAGAGAUCAAUAGGGCAGAGUCUUCGGUGGCAAUUGCCUUUUUGCUGUGGUCAGCUGUGAAAGGAUCAUUAUCCAGCAAGUCUGACAGUUUCUUCCAAAGAUCCUUGCUUUUUAAAGGAGUUUAAUCAGACUUAGGCCUUUGCAGACCUCCUCUGGUUUGGCAGAUUAUCAGUUCUGGGUACCCUCAGCUUGUUCUAUUUUCAGUGAUAUCUGGUCUUAGCUACAACAUCUUUGGUUGCGUAAAUCACUGCUUAACAUAGGUCACUGUUUGAUAUGCGUGACUCCAUUUUGCUUUCUACUCUCUUCAAUACACUUAAGAUGAUUAUGAGGACCAGGGAUCCCUCUAAUAUGUGGUGGUCCUGGGAGCUGGGGAGGAACAGUGACAGGUACAGGGAGGGGAUUUUUGCCUAAAGUAAGAAUUCUUCUGGUGAUUAGGAUUGGAAAAGCCUGGAUGGCAAAAGAGUGAGCUCUCCAUCCUAGGAGUGUUAAGGAGCAAAUGGAGCUGCAAGUAGGUGGCUUAAAAUCUCUUCUAACUAAAAAUUUAUUGACCUUCCGGCUCCUGGGUGGCUCAGCAGGUUAAGGGUCCAAUUCUUGAUUUCAGCUCCGAUCAUGGUCUUAGGGUCCUGGGGUAAGGCCCCAGUCCGGCUCAAGCUCAGUGGGGAUUCUGCUUGAGGAUUCUCUCUCUCCCUCUGCCCCUGCCCCUGCUCACAGGCCAUGCUCUCUCUGUCAAAUAAAUAAAUCUUAAAAAAACACAAAACUUCAUUGACCUGAAAGAUAAAACAGUAAGUUACUGUGUCAGCAAAAUGCGUUUAUUCCGGAAUAGCAAAGAACUGCAAUUCAGGACCUGCAAGCUAUGGCAGAGCCACAGGUAAGCCCAACAAAGGAGAGGACCGUUAUUUCAGGAAAAAGGAGGAAGUUGGGAGGGUCGCUUGGAACCGAAAGUUCACUGGAGAGAAACAAGCGUUCAGGGUGAUGAGGGUUUCUCAUUGGCAGAGUUUGCUGGGCUUGCUAAGAGAUGCGACAAACAUCUUUUUCCGGUUGGGGCCUGUGAUUGUUACUUCUUCCCUGUUGAAGAUUCUUCUGCUGAGGUCUAUACUUGACAAUUCUUCCUGUAAUUGGCAAUUCUUAUAAUUGGCAGGCAACGAUGGGCGCCUGGGUGGCUCAGUUGGUUGAGGGACUGCCUUCGGCUCAGGUCAUGGUCCUGGAGUCCCGGGAUCGAGUCCCGCAUCGGGCUCCCUGCUCAGCGGGGAGUCUGCUUCUCCCUCUGACCCUCUCCCCCGUCAUGUGCUCUCUCGCUCUCAUUCUCUCAGAUAAAUAAAUAAAAUCUUAAAAAAAAAUAAUUGGCAGGCAACGGUACAGCCUGAGGGCUCCACUUUGGUGAGGUGUCUCUUAAUUUCGACAACUUUCUCUGAUUAUGUUCACCAGGAAGGGAGGAACGACAAAAGCAGGCGUGCGCAGGAUGCAGGCAGGAAGCACGGGAAUCUGGAGAACGAGGGCCGGGAGGACGGGCUCUGGACAACUGCGAAGUUUGCCCGGCUGUGCAGCCAGGCUGAGGCAGGGGGACGGAGCAGCUGCUGCUUGGUUUUGAGCAAAGAGCGGCCCCCUCCCUGAAGCGAAAAGCGCUGGGCAGAAACAGCACAGCCAGCUGAAGGCCAGAACUAGCCUAGAAGGCGGCUGCGGGAAGAAGGAGGGCGGAGGGCCAGGCGUGGGCGACGCCGGGGGCGCGCGGCUCGGCGGGGACGCGCGGCUCAGCGGGGGCGCGCGGCCCGCACCGGCCCUCAGCUCCGGAAGGGGGCGGGGCCGCCUCGCGCGCCCGUUCCUUCAGUCUGCGAGCGCCUGCCGCGCGCGCUGCCGAGGCUCCUCAGCUGAGCUCCGAGCGGUCGAUCGCCUUCGCUCCCGCAGCCCGCGCUCCGCUUGCCGCUGGCUCCACCCGCCAUUGUAGGCCUGUAGUCCGCUAUGGAGCAUGCCUUUACCCCGUUGGAACCCCUGCUUCCCACCGGGAAGUUGAAAUACUGCCUUGUGGUUCUGAAUCAGCCUCUGGACAAAUGUGUUCGUCAUCUUUGGAGCAAAGCUCUUUUAAGAGCCUGUGCUGAUGGAGGUGCCAACCGCUUAUAUGAUACCAUGGAAGGAGAGAGGGAAAGCUUUUUGCCUGAAUUCAUCAGUGGAGACUUUGAUUCUAUUAGGCCUGAAGUUAAAGAAUAUUAUGCCAUCAAGGGAUGUGAGAUUAUUUCAACGCCUGACCAAGACCAUACCGACUUUACCAAGUGUCUUGAACUGCUCCAAAAAAAGAUAGAAGAAAAAGACUUACAGGUGGAUGUAAUUGUGACCUUGGGAGGUCUUGGUGGGCGUUUUGACCAGAUUAUGGCAUCUGUGAACACCCUGUUCCAAGCUAUGUGCAUCACUUCUGUGCCAAUUAUAAUAAUCCAAGAGGAAUCUCUCAUCUACCUGCUUCAGCCAGGAAAGCACAAAAUGCAUGUAGCUACUGGAAUGGAAGGUGAUUGGUGUGGCCUUAUUCCUGUUGGACAGUCUUGCAAUCACGUUACGACAACAGGCCUAAAGUGGAACCUCACAAACAACAUGCUUGGUUUUGGAACACUGGUCAGUACUUCCAAUACCUACGAUGGAUCUGGUGUCGUGACCGUGGAAACGGACCAUCCACUCCUCUGGACCAUGGCCAUCAAAAACUGACCCAGCAAUUGGCAUCCACAGCCAUGCCUCUGAUUUACCUCAUUUGCCUUAUUGUCUUAUUGCUCAACUUAUUGCUUAUUGCUCAACAAGAACUUUGAUUUACAGAAAUUUAAACCUCUCCAUGGGAAGCCCAGUAGUCUCAAAGAUGUUAAUGUUUACAUAAUCCAGGUAACACAAAUGACAGAUCUCAAUUUUACAGUGAGGGAGAAAAAUGAUUAUUUUGAAGAAAGUAAAUAAGCUCUAUUACAUUCACUUGGAAAACUAUUGUGGAUCAUUCCCCUAUAAAAUUCAGUACCAAUUAUUAUCAUUCCAUUUAUCCUAGAGAAUUGUUUUUGAUUUUGAAGCUGAGAAAGUUCUCUGUUGAGGGUCCUUGGUGUCUAACACAUCAGCCACCUUCUGCCCAUCCUUAAAUCCUUACACCGAAGGCUACGUCUGAAUGUUAACGCUAGAGUCCUCUGUAUAAUAUGGGGAAAAAAUUCCUUUCAGAGUGGGAUGUUAGAAUGGCACCAUUUUGCCCUGGCUUUACCUGUCUUUGGUAUUACCUUUUAAAAAUAAAUCAAGAAUCAUUGACCUAAUUAUUAAAUUGGAAAACAGGCAGUUAUGUAAGCUAUAGGUGAAGAGAGAAAUGGCAUGAAAGGUGAAUGACAGGUCAUAAAGCCCUACUGACACCUUCACCCCAAGCUCAGCUCUGAGCCGAGUGCACUAGGCUCCAGGGGAGUGACAGAUGAGAACUGCCCUCAUUGGAAUUACAACCCAGGCUGAAGAUAUUGUGCAGAGGAAACUCAUGCACGAAAAAUGAAUUGUUUCUGACAUUACUCAGCCUGAACAAGCGUUGGUUCACAGGCCCCAAAGUUAAUGCAGAGGACCAGGAAAUGAGUUUGACACCUAGUAGUAAGAAUCUGGGUCUGAAAGCCUGAGCUCCUGUCCUGGUCCAGUGAUUCACCCACGUUCCCGGAACUUUGUCCUGAGCCAGAACCGGGGCAGGGCUGGCGGGGUGGUGCCGGAGCUUCCUUCUGCUGCCCCUCCACCCCUAGGUUCUAGACCCUAACACCUGGCAGUUACCCAGCAGAGAAUGCACAGCAUUACUGGCUCGGCAGUUCAAACCAUGUAGGGCACUGAAAUGCACUCGUUUCUUUUAUAAUGAGACCCUCAUCUCUCUUACCCUUUUCUAUCCUAUUUACCAAACGAAACGGUGCCAUACAAACCAUGACGUGAGGAGAACCCACCCCCUAGGUUUUACGAACACACAUCCCCAUCUUGCUCUCGAGGACCAGCAGCUCUUUCCUUCCCGGUGUUACGAUAAAGCAAGAGUUGGAUUUUAAGUGGAGAGUGAAAGGAGAAUCGGUUGAGCUGCGUGCAGUUGUGAAGGUUCACCAUGAGAGCAGGAGCGUGCAGACGGUGAGAUCUCAGGUGCCCAGGCAGCCCCUCUUCCCACCCUCCUGUUCAGUUUGGAUCCUGACCUCCAGCUCAUAGCUGCAAGGGACGCUGGAAGCCGGGCCCUCCUGGCCAAGUGACUUGUGCUUCUUGUCCCCUUUGACUUCAGUCUGUUUCUUCUUUACAUGGGUCGGACGUAUGGCUUUUACAAAUCAAAUGGUGGCGACCCCAGAAUAGCAUCUGGUUACCUAAGUCACUGAUGAGUGAAAGCACGCUCUGAUGGCUCUUCUCUGCAGGCGGCUGGGAGAUGACAAUGGCCACAGCUCCUGGAACGCUGGUGGGAGUCACGCGACUGAGAUGUAAUAAACCGUCUGUGGUCCAAAGAAUCCAGAGUGGGGCCGCUCUCCCAGAUGAGGAUGCCCAGGGCAAUAUAUGUCUAUUCCUGAAUUUUUGCUAAGCAGACAGAGCAAGGUUCCCUUGGGACGGGAACCAGGACCAUCCCAGUAGUCAGAGGGGACGCUGAGAGUGGGGGCUGGUGGCCGGGACCGCGUGCGCGUUCACAAAGAAAUCUUGUGGCUGGAGCUAUUUUCAACUUUGGGGGUUCGAGGAACGACCGUGGCUGUCCGAAGCUGAAGUGGACUACAGACAAGAAUACAGGUUAUUCUGAAAUAGCUGGAGACCAUGACAUUCGAUUCCAGUAUUUUCUCUAUUUGUGUUUACAUCUACCUGUUCCACAAAUGACCUCCCUUUAGCACGCACAAGAAAUUAGCCUGAGGAGUCUAAAACCAUUAAAAAAUAAAUGAUGUAUUUUUAGGGCCUCAUUGAAAAUUUACUGCUACAGCAUCUGCCGGGCAGCGUCCUAGGCUGCAGAUUUCUGGCUGGCGAAGUGUCUGACCGCUCUAACGACACAGAUGAAAGGACAGAGAUGAAAAUGAGUCAGCCUGGUUCCAUGAGGUCCAAAGUCCCAGGCAGGAGAUGAGAUGAACCCUGUGCCGCUUCAUUAUAAUAAUGAGUUAACUUCCAAUAAAGCAGAAAAUCCAGUUGAGUGGGACCUUCAAGUUGACAUACUGCUGUCCUUUAACACAGAUCUGAGUGUCUCCUGCAAGGCCGACACUGGAGUCCAGGGAUGCCCUCACUGGCUCCCAUUACAGUGAGACGGGUGAGGGACAGAGAGAGAUGGGAGAAAGGGGGACACACGAGAGGAAAGACAUGUGGGAAGGUAGACAAGAAAGUGGGCACAAGGAGACCUGCACUUCGGGUGAAACAGUGGGGAAAGAAGAGAGAUGGAAGUCGGCUUCCUUUUCUCGCCCACUUGGAAUGCUAACAAGCAUCAGCUUCCAGCGCGGACACCUCCCAUUCACACGUGGUACAAAAUGGCCGUUUAUGGACCCGGUAAGAGUGGCCUGGGAGCAGUCUGUCACAAGGGCUGAUGUUAAGAGCAAAAAGGACACCGUGCAUAUGAACAUGUUGGUCACAAUUAUGUAAAUAUCAGACAAUACUGGAAGAGAAUAAACAUUUUACCAUGGUUAGCUUUGACUAAUUGUA
RNA transcript from Zalophus californianus (California sea lion), 5876 nucleotides. It is a transcript of the gene named thiamin pyrophosphokinase 1, with no coding region annotated. The transcript has 12 exons. NCBI's taxonomy places the organism in Eukaryota, Metazoa, Chordata, Mammalia, Carnivora, Otariidae. The record is from RefSeq and is a predicted model, not a curated record.